Molecule: long non-coding RNA, 714 nt
Organism: Hipposideros armiger (great roundleaf bat)
Lineage: Eukaryota; Metazoa; Chordata; Mammalia; Chiroptera; Hipposideridae
Exons: 3
Source: RefSeq, a predicted model, not a curated record
UCCGCUGACAUCACUGGCACAUAAGGAGCCUAUCUCUGUAGUAUGCCUAGUAUAAUUAGAAGAAGCGUGUGCCUCUUCAUAUUAGUUGCCUGUCAGAUUCGAAUUCGUCCUUCAUUGCCUCCUGUGUGAAAAUAAAGCGGGGCCCUUUCACAAAUGUUGCCUUUGCCAGCUGGCCCGAUGGCAGUCGUUGUCAGUAGCUGGAGGUGGUUAGCUGCUGCAUGAGGAAGACUGGCCCCUUUGGGUUUGCAUUAUGGUCUCUCACAGUCUCCUGUAACAUGCACACCUUUCCCAGGAUCAGGUCCCCACAGUGUGCGUGGCUUCUCUAGGGCUCUGUGCCCGCUCCGAAGAUGGCGGCUGGAGCGUUCACGCCCUGUGGUGGGCGGUCACCAGCACCUAGAAGUCAGAAGUCCCCCGUGGCACCUCUCCUUUCUUAGCGGAGCGCCACAACUCGGACACCUCCUGUGGAUACCUCUCCCUGGCUAGUUCCACGGUGGCAGCACAUACAGUGACCCAGUGCUGCGCACCUAGGAGCAAGAUCCAUGGCUGUGUCAAAUAGCCAUAUGAUCCCUGCGGACAAGUACACACCAUGACCCAGGAAGAGACAGGUGGUAAGAGGCUCCAGUGAGAGGUCCCUUCCUAGACUCAGAGGAAAGGAGCAUCUUUAUCUCUGAAGACAGAGGGAAGCCAAGAGGAACCUGAAUGAAUGAGCCUUGC